RNAcentral lists this ribosomal RNA (2981 nucleotides) under Deltaproteobacteria bacterium. Its description in RNAcentral is "23S ribosomal RNA". It matches the Rfam family "Bacterial large subunit ribosomal RNA". Lineage: Bacteria; Pseudomonadati; Myxococcota; Myxococcia. The record is from RNAcentral.
GUGGUCAAGCUACUAAGGGCGAGCGGUGAAUGCCUUGGCGCGCAGAGGCGAUGAAGGACGCGGCUAGCUGCGAAAAGCUUCGGGGAGGUGCUAAGCAACCUUUGAUCCGGAGGUGUCCGAAUGGGGAAACCUCGACGGCUUGUCCGUCGAUCCCACACUGAAUUCAUAGGUGUGGUGAAGUCAACCUGGGGAAGUGAAACAUCUCAGUACCCAGAGGAAAAGAAAUCAAACGAGACUCCGCUAGUAGUGGCGAGCGAACGCGGAUCAGGCCAAACCUGGGAGACAUGUCUCUCGGGGGUUGUAGGACCUUCAUAUGGGACCGGAAUGGGUAGCGGAAGAGUUCUGGAAAGUACUCCGACACAGGGUGAUAGGCCCGUACGCGAAACUCAAACCGGCUCAGAGGGUAUCCUGAGUACCACAGGGCACGUGAAACCCGGUGGGAAUCUGGGAGGACCAUCUUCCAAGCCUAAGUACUCCUGCGCGACCGAUAGUGAACCAGUACCGUGAGGGAAAGGUGAAAAGAACCCCAGUUAGGGGAGUGAAAGAGCAUCUGAAACCGCUUGCCUACAAGCCGUUCGAGGGCUACGGCCCGUAAGGGUCACGCCUGAGAGCGUUCCUUUUGAAUGAUGAGUCCGCGAGUUGCGUUACGUCGCGAGGUUAAGCCACUAGGUGUAGCCGGAGCGAAAGCGAGUACUAAUUGUGCGUUGAGUGGCGUGACGCAGACCCGAAGCGUUGUGAUCUACACGUGGUCAGGAUGAAGCGCGGGUAAUACCGUGUGGAGGUCCGAACUCACCUUAGUUGAAAAUAAGGGGGAUGAACUGCGUGUAGGGGUGAAAGGCUAAUCAAACUGCGUGAUAGCUGGUUCUCCUCGAAAAAUAUUUAGGUAUUGCCUCGGAACACUCACUGUCGGAGGUAGAGCACUCAAUGGGCUAGGGGGCCUACAAGCCUACCAAACCCAAUGAAACUCCGAAUACCGACAAGUGUUAUUCCGGGAGGCAGGCCGCGGGUGAUAAGAUCAGCGGCCGAGAGGGAAAGAGCCCAGACCGUCGGCUAAGGCCCCCAAAUCCAUGCUAAGUGGAAAACGAUGUGGGAGCGCUGUGACAACCAGGAUGUUGGCUUAGAAGCAGCCAUCAUUUAAAGAAAGCGUAACAGCUCACUGGUCAAGCGAACCUGCGCGGAAAAUAUAACGGGGCUCAAGCAUGGUGCCGAAGCCACGGGAUACAUCGAGCGAGAGCUCGGUGGAUCGGUAGAGGAGCAUCGAAGUCGCCUGAGAAGGUCUAUCGUGAGAGAGGCUGGAGGUUCUUCGAGGGCAUAUGCGGACAUGAGUAGCGACUAAACGGGUGAGAAACCCGUUCGCCGAAAACCCAAGGUUUCCUGGGCCAGGUUAAUCCGCCCAGGGUCAGUCGGAACCUAAGUCGAGGCCUUACGGCGUAGGCGAUGGAAGACAGGUUAACAUUCCUGUACUGCGAUCUAGUCAAAGAAACGAGCGGGGACGGAGUAGGGUAGGCGAGCCGGUUAAGGAUUUCCGGUUCAAGCAUGUAGAGGUCAUCCGUACGAUCAAAAGGCGGGUGAGUUAUCCUCGAGACGUAAUGAGGGUGCAACGCCUUUGUGCUGCGCGCCAUCUCGUUGAUCCCACACUUCCUAGAAAAGCCGCGCGCGGAGACGCGAUCGCAUCCGUACUACAAACCGACUCAGGUGGGUGGGUGGAGAACACCAAGGCGCAUGAGAGAACGGCGGUUAAGGAACUCUGCAAAUUAACACCGUAACUUCGGGAUAAGGUGUGCCUAACGAGGUGAGGGCCCUUGCGGUCGGAGCUUCGAAGGGCUGCAACAAAGCGGGGGUAGCGACUGUUUACCAAAAACACAGGCUUCUGCGAAGGCGAAAGCCGACGUAUAGGAGCUGACUCCUGCCCGGUGCCGGAAGGUUAAGGGUAUUGCUUAGCGCAAGCGAAGGCAUGAACCGAAGCCCCGGUAAACGGCGGCCGUAACUAUAACGGUCCUAAGGUAGCGAAAUUCCUUGGCGGGUAAGUUCCGUCCUGCACGAAUGGAGCCACGACUUCCCCACUGUCUCAACCGCCGACUCAGCGAAAUUGAACUCGCGGUGAAGAUACCGCGUUCCCGCAGACGGACGGAAAGACCCCAUGAACCUUCACUGCAACUUGGCACUGACUUUCGGGGUGAACUGCGUAGGAUAGGUAGGAGGCUUUGAAAUCGGGGUUCCGGCUCCGAUGGAGCCAACGUUGAAAUACUACCCUGUUCAUUCUGGACGUCUAACCUAGACCCGCUAUCCGGGUCAGGGACACUGUCUGGUGGGCAGUUUGACUGGGGCGGUCGCCUCCAAAAGCGUAACGGAGGCGCACGAAGGUCCCCUCAGGCUGAUUGGAAACCAGUCGUAGAGUGCAAUGGCAUAAGGGGGCUUGACUGCGAGACCGACAGGUCGAGCAGGUAGGAAACUAGGUCAUAGUGAUCCGGUGGUUCUGUAUGGAAGGGCCAUCGCUCAACGGAUAAAAGGUACUCUGGGGAUAACAGGCUUAUCUCCCCCAAGAGUUCACAUCGACGGGGAGGUUUGGCACCUCGAUGUCGGCUCAUCGCAUCCUGGGGCUGAAGUCGGUCCCAAGGGUUCGGCUGUUCGCCGAUUAAAGCGGUACGCGAGCUGGGUUCAGAACGUCGUGAGACAGUUCGGUCCCUAUCCUCUGUGGGCGCAGGAGACUUGAAGAGGAGCUUUUCUUAGUACGAGAGGACCGGAAAGGACGCAUCCCUGGUGAUCCAGUUGUCACGCCAGUGGCAUAGCUGGGUAGCUAAAUGCGGAAGGGAUAACCGCUGAAAGCAUCUAAGCGGGAAGCCCACCUCAAGAUAAGGUCUCCCGUGACGUAAGUCACACGAAGGGCUGUCGUAGACUACGACGUUGAUAGGCUGGAAGUGUAAGCAACGAAAGAAGUUCAGCUGACCAGUACUAAUCGCCCGGGCGGCUUGACCAUGCUU